AUUGAACGCUGGCGGCAGGCCUAACACAUGCAAGUCGAGCGGAUGAAGGGAGUUUGCUCCUGGAUUCAGCGGCGGACGGGUGAGUAAUGCCUAGGAAUCUGCCUGGUAGUGGGGGAUAACGUCCGGAAACGGGCGCUAAUACCGCAUACGUCCUGAGGGAGAAAGUGGGGGAUCUUCGGACCUCACGCUCUCAGAUGAGCCUAGGUCGGAUUAGCUAGUUGGUUGGGUAAAGGCCUACCAAGGCGACGAUCCGUAACUGGUCUGAGAGGAUGAUCGGUCACACUAGAGCUGAAACACGGUCAAGACGCCUAAGAGAGGCAGCAGUGGGGAAUAUUGGACAAUGGGCGAAAGCCUGAUCCAGCCAUGCCGCGUGUGUGAAGAAGGUCUUCGGAUUGUAAAGCACUUUAAGUUGGGAGGAAGGGCAGUAAGUGAAUACCUUGCUGUUUUGACGUUACCAACAGAAUAAGCACCGGCUAACUUCGUG
Molecule: ribosomal RNA, 484 nt
Filed under: uncultured bacterium
Lineage: Bacteria
Description: partial 16S ribosomal RNA
Rfam family: Bacterial small subunit ribosomal RNA
Source: RNAcentral